This is a non-coding RNA of Odocoileus virginianus texanus, 392 nucleotides long. Lineage: Eukaryota; Metazoa; Chordata; Mammalia; Artiodactyla; Cervidae. The record is from RefSeq and is a predicted model, not a curated record.
CGAGUCCGAUUGGUCGGGCGCACCAAAACAAUGGGCAUGACAUCACCUGCGGGGACCGAGACUGAGUUUGCGGCGCGAGGUUUAGGGGAGCAUGAGCUGCGGAACAACAGAGCCCCCUCGCCCCACGCCUACGUCUCCCUGAUUGUCCUGCUGAGAGUGGGCUGCCAGCUACCCGCCAAAUAACUAUGGGGACACCCACACUGGAGAGAAAAGGUCUGAUGGCUAGCUGAGCCAGUGCAGCAAGUCUUGCACAGAGACAAAGCAAAAGGGGGAUCACUGACGCGCGAACCCGAGCACCUUCUGUGCCAGACUGCGGCGGGCGGAGAGGGGCCUGGCGCGCGCUGAUGCCACCGUCUGUCAUCGCUGGCUGGGACACUACCAAUAAUGAGAAC